AAGUGUCACGGACUGACCAUAGUCUUCAUUCCGUAUUCCCCUGCACUGCUUGGGGGUGAGGAGGUAGAAGAUAGGGGUUGAGAGGAAGAUCUUAUCUAGCAUUCCUAUGUCCUAUGUUCAUGUCUGAUCAGCGACCAUGACAGCAUGCAGCAGGAGAAGUCCAAGGAUUUUCGAGACUACAGAAACUGCAAUGGAUCAAAUAUAAGGCUGUAAAGUUGGAAGAAGACUGUUGUUUCCCAUUCCCGCUUCACAGGAACUUCAGAUCAGAAGAAGACCUCACAGAUAAGGAUUUCUCAAGUCUUCACUCUAGUCAAAAUUUAAUCAAGCUCCAUCUAAAGAAUUUUAUAAUUCAUUCAAUCCAUUAGAAGUUCACUCUGAAACUUUUGACUUUGCAGACUAAAAGCCUUCUAACUUCCAAGAAAAAAUGAAUUAUAAUCAUCAGAGAUGAAGUGUUACGGACUGACCACAGUCCCCAUUCCCCAUUUCCUAUGACUUGCAUGAGCACAUUUGCAUUUUUAGGAGCAACCUCCAUCUAGUUCAGCAGAUCAUUCACCUUACUUACAGUCUACUAUUUUAACUCUGCACUCUAGAUAUCUUCCUGUAAAACUGUUGUGGAUUGACAUUUUCAGGUGGGUUGCGUAUCUGCUCUUGAAUGUCAGGAAUUUAAACUUAUUUCAUAGUUUUGAAUUGUGUCUCAUAUUAAAGCAGUUUAUAACAUUUAUUUGAAUCUACUUCAUUUCUCUGUAAACGGCUUGCUGAGGAGUAACAGAAUCACUCAGGCAAUACAACCACUACAUCGUAUUUUAUUGCUUUCACUCUGCCUCUCUAUCUCUGUGGCUUUUUGUUAAAAUCUGUAUUUUACUAGCAUGGCAUAAACCCUCGAGAGUUCAUUCCUUUAAUUCUUUGGAUCAUUCAGACUACACCUAGACCAGAUAGCACAGUACUAUUCCUUUGUAUUUUCUUAAAAUAGAUUCUUGACUUCAGCUGUGCACAUUAUUUUCCUUAGUCAGCCCCACUUCUCUUUUUCCCUUCCCUUCUGUCACUUUCCUGCGACGAUAAAACCAAAACCAUUGGCACGGGGCGGGGGUGGGGCAGUAUGUGAGGUAACAAAAAACCCUGAGCAGAUCGAAGGAAGAUUUUGUUGCAUUAAUAGUAUAAUUAGUUAGCAGUUUACUGGAUUAUUCUUACUACUUCAGCACUCUAGUGAAGAUCAGGAUGCUAUUUCAAGUGACACAUCUUUUACUGAAAUUAAAAGAAAAA
Numida meleagris (helmeted guineafowl) is the source of this 1260-nucleotide long non-coding RNA. RefSeq lists it as uncharacterized. The record is from RefSeq and is a predicted model, not a curated record. The transcript has 3 exons. Lineage: Eukaryota; Metazoa; Chordata; Aves; Galliformes; Numididae.